GACGAACGCUGGCGGCGUGCUUAAUACAUGCAAGUCAACUUGACUUUAGAUAGCAAUAUCGAAAAGUAGGGUGGCGCACGGGUGCGUAACGCGUAGGUAAUCUGCCUGAGGUCUGACAUAACCCGUCGAAAGCGGGCUAACAUCAGAUGAUAUAUAAUCACGACAUCGUGGAAAUAUCAAAGUCUUCGGAGCCUUGGGAUGAGCCUGCGUCUGAUUAGGUAGUUGGCGGAGUAAUAGCCCACCAAGCCUACGAUCAGUAGCUGGUCUGAGAGGAUGAUCAGCCA
This 284-nucleotide ribosomal RNA is filed under the name uncultured bacterium. Its description in RNAcentral is "partial 16S ribosomal RNA". It matches the Rfam family "Bacterial small subunit ribosomal RNA", at positions 28 to 310 of the family's 1533-position model. The record is from RNAcentral.